GAUGAAGAACGCAGCGAAAUGCGAUAAGUAAUGUGAAUUGCAGAAUUCAGUGAAUCAUCGAAUCUUUGAACGCACAUUGCGCCCGCCAGUAUUCUGGCGGGCAUGCCUGUUCGAGCGUCAUUACAACCCUCAGGCCCCCGGGCCUGGCGUUGGGGAUCGGCGGAAGCCCCCUGUGGGCACACGCCGUCCCUCAAAUACAGUGGCGGUCCCGCCGCAGCUUCCAUUGCGUAGUAGCUAACACCUCGCAACUGGAGAGCGGCGCGGCCAUGCCGUAAAACACCCAACUUCUGAAUGUUGACCUCGAAUCAGGUAGGAAUACCCGCUGAACUUAAGCAUAUCAAAAGCGGAGGA
This 351-nucleotide unclassified non-coding RNA is filed under the name soil metagenome. RNAcentral describes it as "partial contains 5.8S ribosomal RNA, internal transcribed spacer 2, and large subunit ribosomal RNA". The stretch from base 1 to 120 matches the Rfam family "5.8S ribosomal RNA", at positions 35 to 154 of the family's 154-position model. The record is from RNAcentral.